GCCCGCUUGGCUUAGUGGUACAGCGUCGCACUCGUAUUAUACUAUAUGAAAUGCGAAGAUCCGCGGUUGUAGGUCUACUCCAAGUUCGAAAACAGGUUCGUCCGACUAAUUUAUCUUAGCGAUUCCGCGAGUGGGCA
RNAcentral lists this transfer RNA (137 nucleotides) under Bipolaris maydis (southern corn leaf blight pathogen). Its description in RNAcentral is "tRNA-Thr". The record is from RNAcentral. Lineage: Eukaryota; Fungi; Ascomycota; Dothideomycetes; Pleosporales; Pleosporaceae.